Nelumbo nucifera (sacred lotus) is the source of this 2829-nucleotide RNA transcript. It is a transcript of the gene named ASH1-related protein 2, with no coding region annotated. The record is from RefSeq and is a predicted model, not a curated record. Lineage: Eukaryota; Viridiplantae; Streptophyta; Magnoliopsida; Proteales; Nelumbonaceae.
CUACCUACAACCAGCCGUAACACGCCCCCGACGGAGGUCUCUCUUUCUCGAGCUUCUUGCAUUACAAAUGAAGUCGCCUUGCGGCUUGCUCUAAGCCUCUAACCUCCAAGGAAAUCGUUGGGCGACGACAGUAGGUAAGUCAUGUUGCAGCCACCGAACUCCAUUGUGAAACUCGUUUCAAUACCAGGUAAAGGCCGCGGCAUGGUCUCCACGCAGCCCAUAAAACCAGGUCAAGUACUCCUCCGAGACUCUCCGGUCCUCCUGUACUCCGCCACCCCCUCCCUCUGCAAAUUUUGCUCCCAUUGCUUCCGCCUCCUUCCACAGUCCCCCUUCCCUUGUCCCACCUGUUCCCACUGCGCUCUCUUCUGUUCCUCUUCCUGUCUCUCCCUCGCCCUCUCCUCCUCCCACUCACCAUGGUCCUGCCACUCCCUCAUUUCCCUUUCACUCUCUCCCCCCCUUCCGCCUGACCUCCACACUCAAGCCUUCUUCCUCAUCGCUGCCUACAAUCUUUCCCUUCUAUCUGCUCCCGACUUCCAUGCCUUACUCUCCCUUCACGGAGACCCUCCCGAGUCUCUGGACGCCCCAACUCUCUUCCUCCAUUCCUUGAUAUCUUCUUUUGGUCCUCCCCCGGGCCUUACCGGGUUCUCACCCGAGAUGACGGCGGCUCUGCUGGCCAAGGACAAAGCGAACGCGUUUGGGUUAAUGGAACCGUUUAAGGAAACUGGGGAGCGGGCCGUGAGGGCGUACGGUAUUUAUCCGAAUGCGUCGUUCUUUAACCACGAUUGCCUGCCGAACGCUUGUAGAUUUGACUAUGUGGAUGGUGUUGGAGAUGGCAAUACUGACAUUAUUGUGAGGGCGGUUCAUGAAGUUCCGGAGGGGAGGGAGAUUUGUUUGAGCUAUUUUCCGGUGAAUUGGAGGUAUAAAGAGAGACAGACUAGGUUGAGGGAGGACUACGGGUUUGAAUGCGGGUGUGAUCGGUGUAGGGUGGAGGUGAGUUGGUCAGAUGACGAGGAGGAUGGGAUUGGGGAGGAGGAGAUGACGGAGGAGGAUGGGGAGGAGCAAAUGGAAGGUGUUGAGGAUGAGGAUGGCGAUGGAGAGGGCAGUGAAGUUGAAUUUCCUCAUGCUUAUUUCUUUCUGAGGUAUGUGUGUGAUCGAGAUAACUGCGGGGGGACGUUGGCACCAUUACCACCUUCGGAGGAAGGGGUUGUGUCUGGUGUUAUGGAGUGCAAUGCUUGUGGGCGGUUGAGGGAGGAGGAAUCGGUUGGUAGAGAGGGAUGUUAAGAAGUUAUGGAUGAUUGAGUCCUGCCGCAGAAAGUGGAAAUUUUUGAUGGCAAAGCAUCCUCAUCUGACAUGGACACUGUGUGCUGUCCAUUGCUUAGACUUGAUAUUGGAAGACAUUGGAAAGUUGCCUACUGUGAAGAGAACAAUUGAGAGGGCAAUUGCACUUAUGGGUUAUAUCUAUAACCAUCCAGGUUUAUUGAACCUGAUGAGGAAGUUCACAAAUCAAAGAUUGAUUAGGCCAGCAAAAACCUGUUUUGCUACUUCCUUUCUCACAUUGUAGAGUAUAUACAAACAAAAAAAGAAUUUGAGAGGUUUAUUCAACUCAAAGGAAUGGAGUGAUAGCAGAUGGAUAAAAGAAGCAAAAGGGAAAAGAAUAGGGGAGACAGUCAUGAUGCCCACAUUUUGGAAUAAUGUCAUCUUUACUCUUAAAGUGUGUGGCCCUCUUGUUUGUGUAUUAAGGUUGGUGGAUCGUGAAAGCAGGCCUUACAUGGAUUACAUUUAUGAGGCUAUGGAUCGAGCAAAGGAGGCCAUUGACAAGGCAUUUGGUGGAAGGAAAGAAAAAUAUGAAAUUUUUGAAAUUAUUGAUAAGAGGUGGGAAUGCCAACUCCACCAACCAUUGCAUGCAGUUGGUUACUUUUUAAACCCCCAAUUUUAUUAUGAUGAUCAAGAGAGACUUGAAACAGAUGAAGAGGUUAUGAUGGGGCUUUUUAAAGUAAUUGAGAUGCUUGAGAAGGACAAGAACAAGAGAAGUGUAAUCAUUGAUGAAAUAUCCAAGUACAAGAAUGCAGAAGGCAUUUUUGGUUUUGAUAUGGCUAUUUCCCAGAGGAAGACUAAAGCACCAGCUGAUCGGUGGACCAUAUUUGGUGCUUCUACCCCGAAUCUACAAAAGAUUGCAGUGAAAGUUCUAAGUUCGACAUGUAGUGCAUCGGGGUGUGAGCGAAAUUGGAGCGUAUUUGAGCAUAUUCAUACUAAGAAAAGAAAUCGGUUGGAUCAGAAGCGAUUGAAUGACUUGGUAUUUGUUAAGUUCAACUAGAUGCUUAAAGAAAGUUUUGACUCACGUAGCACCAAUGACCCCAUUUCAUUAAAAGAUAUAUAUGAGAGUAAUGAAUGGUUAAUGGGGGAGGUAGGAUGUGACGAGGAUGGUGCAGAAGCUGAUUUGGUGUUUGAUAAUGAUACACUAACAUGGGGAGAUGUUGCUUGUGCUUCUGGAGUUGAAGAGCCACUAAGGUAUACAAGGUCUAGAGCUUCAACUUCCCAAGCAAGAACAACAAAAUCUAGUGGAAAAAGACCAAGACAGCUUCAAUUGGAAGAUGAAGAAGAGGAAGAAGAAGUUGAAGAAGAAAUGGAAGAGGAUUUUGAUGACUACAAGUCAGAUGACAAUGAAGAUGAAGUUGAACUUCCAAGUGAAGAUGAAGAUGAUUAGAGGAUGAGGAUACUGAUUGAGACAUUGAGUCUUGAAGAAUGGCUGAACUGAAACCUUACGACUCUUUUUUUUUUAUAUAUAUAGAAAAUUGUCUAUGAUUUUGUUUUGUAGAAAAUUGUCUGACU